RNAcentral lists this long non-coding RNA (1563 nucleotides) under Macaca fascicularis (crab-eating macaque). RNAcentral's name for it is "lncRNA (ENSMFAG00000049651.1)". The record is from RNAcentral. Lineage: Eukaryota; Metazoa; Chordata; Mammalia; Primates; Cercopithecidae.
UUUUUUUUUUUUUUUUGGAUACAGUCUUGCUCGGCUCACUGCAACCUCCACCUCCUGGUUUCAGGCGAUUCUUCUGCAUCAGCCUUCCAAGUAGCUGGGAUUACAGGCGCACACUAUGACGCCUGACUAAGUUUUGUAUUUUUUAGUAGAGAUGGGGUUUCGCCACGUUGGCUAAGCUAGCCUCGAACUCCUGACCUCAGGUGAUCUGCCCACCUCAGCCUCCCAAAGUGCUGGGAUUACAGACAUGAGUCACUGCACCUGGCCUACCAAUAAUAUUUCAAUCUACCUUUGUAAAUGAUAGCUGACUGCAACCUUGAACUCCUGAGCUCAAGCGAUCCUCCCCUGUUUAGCCUGUCAAGUAACUGGGACUGCAGGUGCACGCCACUGCAUUUGGCUAAUUUUUUAUUUUUAUUUUUUGGUACAGAUAGGAUCUUGCCGUUUUGCCCAGGAUGGUCUUGAACUCCUGAGCUCGAGCAAUCCUACAGCCUUGGCCUCCCACAGUGCUGGGAUUACAAGCGUGAGCCACUGUGCUGGUCCUUAAAGGAUUAUUAAAGACAGGUUAACAGCAAACUAAAACUCUUCUCUAUGAAAGUAUUGGAAUAGAUUUGCAAAGAAAACAGUUUUCCUUCUCUCUCUGAUUCUCUCUCUUUUUGUAGAGACAGGGUCUCGCUAUGUUGGCCAGGCUGGUCUCUAACUCCCUGCCUUCAAGCAAUCCUUUUGCCUUGGCCUCCCAAAGUGCUGGGAUUUCAGCCAUGAGUCACCCCACUGGUCUCUCUUCUUCCUAGCAUGUCCUGAGGCAUCUGUACAUCAACUCCUGGGGCAACAAACACCAAAGUUGGCCUGAGGAAAGAUGGGUGUCAGGCUGUACGGAGUUUAGUUGCAGGGGCAGGGAAGGCCCCCUAAGGGGCAGCAGCGCUCAUGCGCACAGGUGUGAUGCUCUGUUUUUGCAGACCACUGGCGCAUCAGUCACCCCAUGCGUAGGAGGCUCUGCCCAUUUCUCUGGCCACCUGCCCCUCAAUCACACUGCUCCAGCCCUGGGGUUCCUCCCUGCUGCUCUUCCUACAGGCUAAGCAGUUUCCAGCCUCUGAGCCUUUGUGCUUAGCUGUUUCCUCCACUCCCAUGGCCACACAGCCUUCUCCUUGCCCUUCCAGUCUAGGCAGAAAGUUUUUCUUCCUUUGUGAGCAAGCUACAUACCAGGCAGGGAUUCAUAUGGAAAACUGACCUUGAGCAAUCAGCCCCUCCACUCUGAGGCUCAGUUUGCCUAACUGCAAAUAUGGAUAAUAAGAAAUGCACCAGGCUGGGCACGGUGGCUCACGCCUGUAAUCCUAGCAGUUUGAGAGUCAGGUGGAUCAUUUGAGGUCAGGAGUUCAAUACCAGCCUGGUCAAUAUGGUGAAACCCCAUCUCUACUAAAAAUACAGAAAUUAGCCAGGCAUGAUGGUGGGUGCCUGUAGUCCCAGCUACUCAGGAGACUGAGACAGGAGAAUUGCUUGAACCCGGGAAGCGGAGGUUGCAGAGAGCAGAGAUAGCGCCACUGUGCUCUAGCCUGGGCAACAGAGUGAGAC